GAUGAACGCUGGCGGCGUGCCUAAUACAUGCAAGUCGAGCGAACAGACGAGGAGCUUGCUCCUCUGACGUUAGCGGCGGACGGGUGAGUAACACGUGGAUAACCUACCUAUAAGACUGGGAUAACUUCGGGAAACCGGAGCUAAUACCGGAUAAUAUAUUGAACCGCAUGGUUCAAUAGUGAAAGACGGUUUUGCUGUCACUUAUAGAUGGAUCCGCGCCGCAUUAGCUAGUUGGUAAGGUAACGGCUUACCAAGGCAACGAUGUGUAGCCGACCUGAGAGGGUGAUCAGCCACACUGGAACUGAGACACGGUCCAGACUCCUACGGGAGGCAGCAGUGGGGAAUCUUGCGCAAUGGGCGAAAGCCUGACGGAGCAACGCCGCGUGAGUGAUGAAGGUCUUCGGAUCGUAAAACUCUGUUAGUAGGGAAGAAAAAAUGUGUAAGUAACUAUGCACGUCUUGACGGUACCUAAACAGAAAGCCACGGCUAACUACGUG
This 497-nucleotide ribosomal RNA is filed under the name uncultured bacterium. RNAcentral's name for it is "partial 16S ribosomal RNA". It matches the Rfam family "Bacterial small subunit ribosomal RNA", at positions 28 to 507 of the family's 1533-position model. The record is from RNAcentral.